This 1801-nucleotide long non-coding RNA is filed under the name Sus scrofa (pig). Its description in RNAcentral is "lncRNA (ENSSSCG00070010711.1)". Lineage: Eukaryota; Metazoa; Chordata; Mammalia; Artiodactyla; Suidae. The record is from RNAcentral.
GUGAGGACGCAGGUUCCACCCCUGGCCUCCUUCAGUGGGCUAAGGAUUCAGCGUUGCCGUGAGCUGUGGCUGUAGGUCAAAGAUGCGGCUCGGCUCUGGCAUGGCUGUGGCUGUGCUACAGGUCAGCAGCUACAGCUCCGAUUGGACCCCUAGCCUGGGAACCUCCAUACAUUGUGGGUGCGGCCCUGAAAAGAAAAAAUAAAUCCCUCUCUCUAGCUCUCUGUGUUUCGUCGUGGUGCUGUUUCUCUGGAGAGCCCUUCCUUAACUCUAUACCUGCUAAGCAAUCACUCCCCACGCUCCCCCGCCCCUGUCUGCCAUUCAUCUGCGUUUGUCUCUGGAUUUGCCUCUUCUGGACAUUUCAUGUCCAUGGAAUCCUGCAACACGUGGUCUUUUGUGUCUGGUUUCAGCUCCCUCCGCACCACGUUGUCAGCACCCAUCCGCGCCGGGGCCUGGAUCACGACUUCAUCCCGUUUACUGCUGCCUCACCUUCCACUGGAUCGUCAGAUGCCCUCGUGUGUGUCCUCCAUCCUUAGCGGCUGCCCGGCUGCGUACGUGCCAGGAGCCGUGGGCGCUCACCAGCCAGGACUCCACGUGGAGCAGAGAGAACAUCAGGGAAAAUGUCAAACAUCGCUUGUCGAGUGGCUCACGGACCAUCGACUGUGCGUCAAUCAAGUACCAGCCGAAGUCUCAACUAUCAAGCGCACGGUGGCACCCAAAGGGGGCGGGGAACCUGGGUCACACACCAGCACCGGCCUAGCUCUGGGCACACGCAGGGCUGACUGGGUGGAUCCCGGGCUGUAACUCUCCAUCCAACCGCUGCCUUCAGUGCUCCUUGGAGCUGCACAGGGCUGUGUGCUGUGAGUCAGUGGACCUCGGCUCAGACCCAGGGCACGGGCGUUCUCAGAGACCCGCCGUCACGAGAUCGCACAGCCCAAAGAUCAAGAGGAAGUCAGCUAAUUUCUGCCCUCUCUUCUUGGGCUUGGCUCUCACCGCAAAGGUGGCAUCUUCUCCAUUUGGAAGCUUGGUCCUUUUAGGAAGCCGGGCCGUGCAAUUAAUUUAUUCAUUCAUUUAAAGGCUUUUGAAACGGAUCCUCUCUGUUAAAAAAAAAAGAAGUGGCGGCGGAAGGGGGAUGGACGAGGAGGGUGUUCUGGGUUGAAUUGUGCCCCCCCCGCCCCCGAAAAACGAUAUGCGAAGAGCUAACUCCUAGUCCUUCCGAUUGCAGCCUUAUUUGGAAGUAGGGUCAUUGCAGAUGCAAUUCGUUCCAUUAAGGCGAGGUCACGCUGGGAUUGGUGGGACCUGGAAUCCAGUUUAACGGAUGUCCUUGUGAGAAGGGAAAACACAGAUGCAGGCAGGCCUGCCGUGUGAACGCAGAGACGCGAGCGAGGAGCCGAGUGACGGCAGAGCAGAGGUUAGGGGACCCCACUGCAGGCCCGCGAGCUGAGGGUGGCCGGCCACCCCCCGAAGCCAGAAGAGGCUCGGAAGGAGCCAUCCCUGUGGGUUCCAGGAAGCAGAGCCCUGCCCACUGCUUGAUUUCAGAGAUCCGGCCUCCAGAACUUGGAGACAAUGCAUUUCUGUUGCUUUAAGGUACUCGGCCUCAGGCCUUUGGUAGGACAGCCCCAGGCCACUAACGCAGAGGGGACCCUCGGCAUCCCCACCAGGGCCUGCCAGCCUUCGGGGGCCUGGUCCAGAUCCGUGGUCCUGCCCACCCUUUCUCUGGCUUCCUCCUCACUUUGCUCUGGGCGUAAGACCCCUGCAGCCCCCCACACCAUGAGAGUUCUCGGGCCCGUCCAGGGCAUGGGUU